RNAcentral lists this unclassified non-coding RNA (402 nucleotides) under fungal sp. Its description in RNAcentral is "partial internal transcribed spacer region". The stretch from base 1 to 46 matches the Rfam family "Eukaryotic small subunit ribosomal RNA", at positions 1786 to 1831 of the family's 1831-position model. The record is from RNAcentral. Lineage: Eukaryota; Fungi.
AAGUCGUAACAAGGUUUCCGUAGGUGAACCUGCGGAAGGAUCAUUAACUUGCAAUUAUACUUUAUGCUAGAUUCAUUAUAUAUAUGGUCUCAUAUAUAUUUUGGGUCGAAACAUGAAAUAUAAAACAAACAAAACCAAAAUUUACCAUCUGUGAAAAACAAAAAACAAAAAUGAAUGCGAAAAGAAAAGUGUGUAUGCACUUUUCCCUAGCAGCCAAUUGACCAAUUCCACAAAUUAUAUUAACCAAUAUAUAUUAACAAACCAUUACCGUAGCUUUAUUCGAUUUAUAUCUAGUUGGGGUGCAAACUCUUUCUGGAUUGUCGGGUAAUAGUACUAAAACCAAAACCAAUAUUAUUUAUUAAUAGAGAAAUACAACUCUUAACAAUGGAUAUCUUGGCUCUC